Molecule: ribosomal RNA, 474 nt
Filed under: uncultured bacterium
Lineage: Bacteria
Description: bacterial SSU rRNA
Rfam family: Bacterial small subunit ribosomal RNA
Source: RNAcentral
GAUCAUGGCUCAGAUUGAACGCUGGCGGCAUGCCUUACACAUGCAAGUCGAACGGCAGCACGGGUGCUUGCACCUGGUGGCGAGUGGCGAACGGGUGAGUAAUAUAUCGGAACGUACCUUAUUGUGGGGGAUAACGCAGCGAAAGCUGUGCUAAUACCGCAUACGAUCUAUGGAUGAAAGCGGGGGAUCGCAAGACCUCGCGCGAUUGGAGCGGCCGAUGUCAGAUUAGCUAGUUGGUGGGGUAAAGGCCCACCAAGGCGACGAUCUGUAGCUGGUCUGAGAGGAUGAUCAGCCACACUGGGACUGAGACACGGCCCAGACUCCUACGGGAGGCAGCAGUGGGGAAUCUUGGACAAUGGGCGCAAGCCUGAUCCAGCCAUGCCGCGUGGAUGAUGAAGGCCUUAGGGUUGUAAAAUCCUUUCAACGGGGACGAUAAUGACGGUACCCGUAGAAGAAGCCCCGGCUAACUUCGUG